GCGUGCUUAAACAUGCAAGUCGAACGAUGAAGCCCUUCGGGGUGGAUUAGUGGCGAACGGGUGAGUAACACGUGGGCAAUCUGCCCUUCACUCUGGGACAAGCCCUGGAAACGGGGUCUAAUACCGGAUACCACUCCUGCCUGCAUGGGCGGGGGUUGAAAGCUCCGGCGGUGAAGGAUGAGCCCGCGGCCUAUCAGCUUGUUGGUGGGGUAAUGGCCCACCAAGGCGACGACGGGUAGCCGGCCUGAGAGGGCGACCGGCCACACUGGGACUGAGACACGGCCCAGACUCCUACGGGAGGCAGCAGUGGGGAAUAUUGCACAAUGGGCGAAAGCCUGAUGCAGCGACGCCGCGUGAGGGAUGACGGCCUUCGGGUUGUAAACCUCUUUCAGCAGGGAAGAAGCGAGAGUGACGGUACCUGCAGAAGAAGCGCCGGCUAACUACGUGCCAGCAGCCGCGGUAAUACGUAGGGCGCAAGCGUUGUCCGGAAUUAUUGGGCGUAAAGAGCUCGUAGGCGGCUUGUCGCGUCGGAUGUGAAAGCCCGGGGCUUAACCCCGGGUCUGCAUUCGAUACGGGCAGGCUAGAGUGUGGUAGGGGAGAUCGGAAUUCCUGGUGUAGCGGUGAAAUGCGCAGAUAUCAGGAGGAACACCGGUGGCGAAGGCGGAUCUCUGGGCCAUUACUGACGCUGAGGAGCGAAAGCGU
Molecule: ribosomal RNA, 702 nt
Filed under: soil bacterium SI15
Lineage: Bacteria
Description: bacterial SSU rRNA
Rfam family: Bacterial small subunit ribosomal RNA
Source: RNAcentral